AUACGUAGGGUGCGAGCGUUGUCCGGAAUUACUGGGCGUAAAGAGCUCGUAGGUGGUUUGUCGCGUCGUCUGUGAAAUUCCGGGGCUUGACUCCGGGCGUGCAGGCGAUACGGGCAUAACUUGAGUACUGUAGGGGAGACUGGAAUUCCUGGUGUAGCGGUGAAAUGCGCAGAUAUCAGGAGGAACACCGGUGGCGAAGGCGGGUCUCUGGGCAGUAACUGACGCUGAGGAGCGAAAGCAUGGGUAGCGAACAGGAUUAGAUACCCUGGUAGUCCAUGCCGUAAACGGUGGGCGCUAGGUGUAGGGGUCUUCCACGACUUCUGUGCCGUAGCUAACGCAUUAAGCGCCCCGCCUGGGGAGUACGGCCGCAAGGCUAAAACUCAAAUGAAUUGACGGGG
Molecule: ribosomal RNA, 398 nt
Filed under: uncultured bacterium
Lineage: Bacteria
Description: partial 16S ribosomal RNA
Rfam family: Bacterial small subunit ribosomal RNA
Source: RNAcentral